Molecule: ribosomal RNA, 253 nt
Filed under: uncultured bacterium
Lineage: Bacteria
Description: partial 16S ribosomal RNA
Rfam family: Bacterial small subunit ribosomal RNA
Source: RNAcentral
UACGUAGGGGGCAAGCGUUGUCCGGAAUCAUUGGGCGUAAAGAGCGUGUAGGCGGCCCGAUAAGUCCGCUGUGAAAGUCCAGGGCUCAACCCUGGGAUGCCGGUGGAUACUGUCGGGCUCGAGUCCGGAAGAGGAGUGUGGAAUUCCUGGUGUAGCGGUGAAAUGCGCAGAUAUCAGGAGGAACACCAGUGGCGAAGGCGGUUGCCUGGAGCUUUGCUGACGCUGAUGCGCGAAAGCGUGGGGAGCGAUCCGG